CGCGCCACAAUCUCAUUGUCUUCAGAGAACCAAUGAACUGGCACGGAAUGGAACCAAACAGAAAUGCGCAAAAACCCCGAAGGGUAUAGAUACAAGCCAAUUCCGCCAGUCAGCAUCAGUUGUUGUUCAAAAGCCUUUGCAUCCAUAACACUGCUUUAAACAGAGUUACCAUGUUUGAAAGUUUGAGGUCGUUGGGUCUCCCUGAGAAUUACCGAUUCUGGAGUCAAGUCAGAGUUGCAGAAAUCACAGACAUGCCGCCAAAGUCGCCUCUGUUAUCGUUUAUUCAAGACAAAGUUUCCUUUGUCUCUGACACCCUGUCUUCUCACUUGUA
Molecule: long non-coding RNA, 331 nt
Organism: Saccostrea cuccullata (small rock oyster)
Lineage: Eukaryota; Metazoa; Mollusca; Bivalvia; Ostreida; Ostreidae
Exons: 3
Source: RefSeq, a predicted model, not a curated record